GUCAACUAGUGACAAGAGCAAUUAGAUAAAAUUCCUCGCAACAGUAGAAGACCAACGCAAAAGACGGAAAACAAAUCGGAGCUCGAACGACCAAAAUACGUGCUGAACGGAAAAUCAGAGCCACAAAAAAACAAUGAAAAAUCAGCAGAAAAUAAGAGGGAGCCUGGCCAGAAUUUCAGACGGCACAAAUAUUGACCAGUUCACUGCACUUGAGAAUUUUUGUGCUCUUUGACCAAAACGAGAGAAAGUGCUAGCU
This 256-nucleotide long non-coding RNA is filed under the name Sorghum bicolor (sorghum). Its description in RNAcentral is "long non-coding RNA (SBIC_LNC017322)". Lineage: Eukaryota; Viridiplantae; Streptophyta; Magnoliopsida; Poales; Poaceae. The record is from RNAcentral.